AACGAACGCUGGCGGCGUGCUUAACACAUGCAAGUCGAACGUGAAAGACUUCGGUCGAGUAAAGUGGCGAACGGGUGAGUAACGCGUGGGUAAUCUGCCCUCGGGCGGGGGAUAACCUCUCGAAAGGGGGACUAAUACCGCAUGAGACCACGGCUUCUUGGAGCUGUGGGAAAAGGUGGGUCGCAAGACCAGCCACCUGAGGAUGAGCCCGCGUACCAUUAGGUAGUUGGUGGGGUAAUGGCCUACCAAGCCUGAGAUGGUUAGCUGGUCUGAGAGGACGAUCAGCCACACUGGGACUGAGACACGGCCCAGACUCCUACGGGAGGCAGCAGUGGGGAAUAUUGCGCAAUGGGGGAAACCCUGACGCAGCAACGCCGCGUGUGUGAAGAAGGCC
Molecule: ribosomal RNA, 394 nt
Filed under: uncultured bacterium
Lineage: Bacteria
Description: bacterial SSU rRNA
Rfam family: Bacterial small subunit ribosomal RNA
Source: RNAcentral